This 395-nucleotide ribosomal RNA is filed under the name uncultured bacterium. RNAcentral's name for it is "bacterial SSU rRNA". It matches the Rfam family "Bacterial small subunit ribosomal RNA", at positions 27 to 426 of the family's 1533-position model. The record is from RNAcentral.
GGACGAACGCUGGCGGCGUGCUUAACACAUGCAAGUCGAGCGGUAAGGCCCUUUCGGGGGUACACGAGCGGCGAACGGGUGAGUAACACGUGGGUGACCUGCCCUCAGCUCUGGGAUAAGCCUGGGAAACCGGGUCUAAUACUGGAUAUGACUCCAUGACGCAUGUUGUGGGGUGGAAAGCCUUGUGCGGCUGAGGAUGGGCCCGCGGCCUAUCAGCUUGUUGGUGGGGUGANGGCCUACCAAGGCGACGACGGGUAGCCGGCCUGAGAGGGCGACCGGCCACACUGGGACUGAGACACGGCCCAGACUCCUACGGGAGGCAGCAGUGGGGAAUCUUGCGCAAUGGGCGAAAGCCUGACGCAGCGACGCCGCGUGAGGGAUGACGGCCUGGUUGU